RNAcentral lists this small nuclear RNA (151 nucleotides) under Bos taurus (domestic cattle). RNAcentral's name for it is "7SK RNA". It matches the Rfam family "7SK RNA", at positions 175 to 331 of the family's 331-position model. Rfam says of the family: 7SK was discovered as an abundant small nuclear RNA in the mid-70s but a possible function has only recently been suggested. The record is from Rfam by way of RNAcentral. Lineage: Eukaryota; Metazoa; Chordata; Mammalia; Artiodactyla; Bovidae. RNAcentral also lists the same sequence under 2 other names.
GUUCUUUGGCUAAGAGUAUGGGAGUAGCUAUGCUCCUGCUAGGACCUCCAAACAGACUCUUGAGAUCCAUUUGUAGGAGAAUGUAGGCUUGUCAAGACUCCAAGACUCCACACACAUCCAAUGAGGCGCUGCAAAGCAGUCUGCCCUUCUU